CCCGAUUCUUCUCCCCUCUCACUGCGACGCCGAGCCAUCGCCGAACCCAUCCUCUCCUCUUCUCACUGCCGCCUUCUUCCUCCCACAUCUCCUCGUUCUUCGUUCGAGCCAUCCCACACAAGGACGACAUCGAGCAAGGGGAAGGGGCCCUAGAUCCAGCCAUUGAUCUACUUUAUCGCCACCAUCCCCAUGCCCUAGCCAUUAUCUCGGCCGCAUUUUCUCCUCCUCUUCUCGCGUCGCCACCUGAUCGCUUGUCACCAGUCGAGCGCCACCCGACCUCCCCUCUCCUGGUCGCGGACACCAGGAGCUCACCGGAAGAUCGAGCAUACAAGUCGUGCCCUAGUUUCCUGGUGCCGCCCCUCUUUAGCGUCGCUGACCAUAGAGCUCCGACGCCGACAGCUGCGAGCUUGAUCGCCGACGCCGAGCUACCUUGGCCCUCUGCCCUAGCUUGGUUUCACCGAUUCUUCUUUUUCUCUCGGUUUCCUCAGCUAUCACAGUGUCACCACAGCGUCAGUAGCUUGUUGCUGACUCUGCCAAUUCAGAACACUUGCUAGCUGCUGAAGAGGAAGAGGAUUUGUUUGAGACGGCAUUACGACUUGGGAUCUAUCAGAUACAACAUUAUUUUGAGGGGGGUACCUCUAACUUAUCUCCUUGAUAUGGUCAUUUUUAAUGUGCAUAGUAGUUUAUAGCUAAUAGAAAUGAUUAUCUUUACUUCUACUUUGGUAUGUCACUUCUUGAUUCUUGUAGUAUGCCUAUAUUCCUAUCUGUUAUGCAUUCAUACUUAUAUUCUCUUGUUUGUUGCCAUGUUUACUCCUGUUCAUAGAAAUAGUGGCAUACAUUGUCCUACUGUGUAGUAGUCUAGUUAUUUGAUAUGUCUGACUUGUGUACCUAGUUUAUUGUUACCUAGAUCAUUGUAUGAAUUUAUUUCCUUUUUGGUACAUUUUAUAUGGAGGGGUAUACUAUCAGUAUCUACAUGUUUAGCGGCAUACACCAUCUUGCAUGAUUACAUGCUAAGUGAUUGUCGACUCCAUUAUUGUUGACCACAUCACCAGUUACAUGAUCUGCACACACAACCACUCAUGGGUUAGUGGUACAUCAGGUAGGGUGUGUGCAGUUUGCUCUAUUAGGGCUCCGUUGGUCCGCUCAUGGGCAUCGAUGACUGCAGCGUGUUGCGGGAAGAGAUCCCUCCCCUUGACCAGGAUACAGGGGGAUGAGAGCUUAGGCUCCCCCACUAUGUUUGGGGUAGGAGGAUAGGUGUACUCCGACGACAUCCUAUCCACUCGGUCACUCCGGAGCAGUGAUGGCAGAGUGUACAGUUGUCAUAGCCCUACCGACUCAGUCUCACCAUCACGUGUGAGAUGGCUAACUGACGUCAGGGGUGACCAUAUCAUUUUUGCAUCAUAUGCAUGGAUUGCAUUUAUUGUUUAUGCUUGCUGCAUUAUGUAAGUUGCAUUUUUGUGGUUGAAUAUGAUUGACAUGCAUACAGGUGACAUUUUGUAUCUGAUCUGACGAUCCUUAUUUUCGGAUAGGAGGUUCUGGUUGAAGCUAUUAGGAGAUUCCAGUUGCUAGUCCCCUUGUCACAAGAGUUUACAUAUUGGUCUUUUGGUAUUCUAUUUAUUUACUUAGAGCUGUGUUUCAGACUUGUAUUGGUUUUGCACCCUGGAUUUGUAUGGUUUUUCUUAAGGCAUUGUAAUGGUUGGUCUUUUGCUUGCUUGGUGGGUUUCUAUUU
Zingiber officinale is the source of this 1729-nucleotide long non-coding RNA. RefSeq lists it as uncharacterized. The record is from RefSeq and is a predicted model, not a curated record. The transcript is spliced from 4 exons. NCBI's taxonomy places the organism in Eukaryota, Viridiplantae, Streptophyta, Magnoliopsida, Zingiberales, Zingiberaceae.